CUUCCUGUCAAUUGGAUGUGUGCAUAGCAUGGGAGCUUCAAUGGUACAUCUCAGCUUUUUUGGUUAUCCCCAGCUGUUCCUUAUAUUUCCGCGUAAUAACUCUUUCUUGUACCCAAUGCAAUACCGAAUAGGGAUCGUAUAGAAGCUCAGAGGCUGCACCUGUCAUUCACAUAGACAGCUGCCAUUUCAGGUCUGUCGUAGGAGUGGCACGCCCCAGAAAGCUCGCCUUCGUGCAUAGCGUUUGCCAGCAGCAUUUCCAGCGAAACAUUACAAAAGCAUAAGCUGCAGCUGCCCGGAAGCGUGAGAAGCAGCCACGGCUCUUUUAAUGCUAUCGUGUUCCACUCUUAAAGGCGCAGCUUAAGUGUCCUCCAACCUUUUUUUUUUUUUUCGCUGUUUGGGGACUGCCUUCUUGAAGGUGUUGCAUCGUUUCCUUUCUACUGUAGGGCGAAUGCAAUAUCUGCUUUGAACAACAGCAAAGCUGCGUUUUGAUUGCACUUGAUGCUGGCCGCACUAGCGCGGCAUCUCUUCUGAACACUAUCCAGCAGUUCACUAUGAUGUUAUCACUGAAAUAGAAUACACAGGACACCUUCGUGUACCACUUCAUCUACCUCGAAGUAAUAUGCCAUAGCUCUAUGAUCAUAUCCUUAACAUCCACUACUUUCUUGGAUUCAUUUCAGAUAGCUGGAAUGUACAGACUAAAAAAGCUCGGAAGCGCUUGCACUGUUUGGAGAAUUUUGUAUGAGCAUUUUCAGGCUGUUCUGGUGACACUAAAAAAUACUGGCUCUCCUGUAAUCGAGAGUAGAUGAAAGCAUGAAAUGGCUGCCGACAAAGCAGAUUGAUUGUAGAUGAUACCAGCCACCAUCUUAAAAUGGGUGUAGCGCACAUUCGCAACGGCACACCCCACCCCACUGCAUCACGCAACUGUACACUGGUCCAUAUGGAAGCAAGUUUCCUGUCGAAGACAGAACCCCAUUGCAAGUCUCGUCUCGGUCCACCAUAUGUGCCGUAGACCUCGCAGACUGCUGGCAUUGAAAAGAGCACAAGCAACUGUGUCUCAGUGCCAAAAAAUGACAAUCAAGUGUACAGUGCCUUGUAUCUGCCUCAGAACGUCGCUAUUAGAAGCGACAAAUAAAACUUCAGCGUACUAGAAGUUACAGCUUGAGUGAUAUUGUGAGCAAAUAUUUAGAACUCGGAAGCAAUAUUUUUUGUAACAUGUUUGGGAAGUAACUAGCAUAUUUAUUGCAGUCUUGACUGUUUGCCCGGAUGAGCUGGUUUGAGUGCCAGGAUAAUGGCUCUGGCUUUUGGUUCAUUGAAGGUGGCUGACAACAGGAGCUAAAAGCAUUUCAUGCUUAAAAUGUCUGCAGCAGCGGCACUGUUCAGUUAAUCAAGGACCUCAUUUCAUGGCCCUCAUUCUGACACCUUCGAACACUGUUUCUGCCUUUGUAACGCUUCCUAGAAUUUAUCCUUCAAAUUCUUAUGUGAAAGAACCAUGCAUCAAUUCUGGCGUAUUUCUCAAACUGUACGAGCAGAAUUGCUGCUGAUUUCAUAAAUACAACCUGUAAAUCGAUACAGCAGAAUUGUUAGUUGAAAUAUGUAAUCCAAAUCAAGGAGCCAUUCUCAAGACGAUGUUCCUGCUGGCACUGAUGCGUGUCAUUCCUGGCAUUGGUGAAAUCUUUAUUCUACAUUAUAAAGCAUGAAACAUUCACACGUGCUCUUCUUUCCUUCUUUUUUGAGCUUUGCUGUUUCAAGGAGCUUUGCCCUUUGAGUGGCAGCAGCCUGAUUGACAUAACUUCUGACUCACGUAUUUAACAUUUUUGCACAGAUUGGUCAAGGAGUAGCCAGAUUUUGAGAAGUACAUGUUUAGCAGAGUCUAUAGGUGCUGGCUUUUGGUGUGGAGAGACAAGCAGCUUCAUAGCUUCCCUCCUGUCUCUUGUCAUUGUGUCAGCAAACUGAAAUGAAAACUCUCGAAACAGUAUAUUUGUUAAUGAGGAAUCUUUGCAAGGUACAUUGUGAAGCACAUGCCGAUGAACUGCUUCAACCUUUUACAUUAAACAAAUUAUGCCAUGUGCUGUCGAGAGGCAAAUAAAGCUGUUCGCUUUAAAAAUUAACAAUAAUCACCACAGUUUGUGAAGUGAUUGAGAUAUUGUUACCCAGUACCUUCAACAAAGAUGUUAUGGGAAACAGUGCAAGGAACUAGCAUACUUACACUAAUUGCAAGUAUUUGGCGGAGUUGUGUGGGAGACAAGAUAGCCAACCAAUUUACCUUUAAUGCAUGUGAGCUUUGUCAUCUUCAUGGUGUAAUGUAAUCUUUUCAGGUAGCGGAUAAAGAAUGUUUGGCAACAUGAAAUGGCCUUUGACGACACAGGCGAGUAGUGGAUGCCACACUUCAGUUCUAAUUAAAGUUACAUCAGCACAGAGCAUGUAUGCUACGACCAAGUUGGGUCCAUACUUUGGAUUACCAUGUACAGUGUCACUCUCUUCUGCAUUCCAGAAGAUGGAAGCCAGUGUUUCUUUGCUGUUGCCAUUUCAAUUUAGUAUAUUUUCAUGUUUUCAUGCUCUGCAAAUUACAGCCAGAGGUUGCACGGUCUCGAAAUGAAGACUACUUUUUGUGUUUUCAAGAUAAAAUUUUAGCUAUAAUAAACGGAAUUUCCAAAAAACAA
Dermacentor albipictus is the source of this 2660-nucleotide non-coding RNA. The record is from RefSeq and is a predicted model, not a curated record. Lineage: Eukaryota; Metazoa; Arthropoda; Arachnida; Ixodida; Ixodidae.